RNAcentral lists this ribosomal RNA (262 nucleotides) under uncultured bacterium. Its description in RNAcentral is "partial 16S ribosomal RNA". It matches the Rfam family "Bacterial small subunit ribosomal RNA", at positions 79 to 339 of the family's 1533-position model. The record is from RNAcentral.
UUGCUGGACGGAAAUAGAGGCGAACGGGUGAGUAAUACGUAAGCAACCUGCCCACGAAGACUGGGAUAAUCCCUGGAAACGGGGACUAAGACCGGAUAGGUACACAGACCGCAUGAUCUGUGUAUUAAAGGUGAGAGACACUGGUGGAUGGGCUUACGGUGCAUUAGCUGGAUGGUGAGGUAACGGCCCACCAUGGCGAUGAUGCAUAGCCGGGCUGAGAGGCUGAACGGCCACAUUGGGACUGAGACACGGUCCAAACUCC